GAUGAACGCUAGCGGCAGGCCUAAUACAUGCAAGUCGAACGGAUAUAUGUUUUUCGGAAUAUAUAUUAGUGGCGCACGGGUGAGUAACACGUACAUAACUUGCCCUCAAGCGGGGGAUAGCCUUGGGAAACUGAGAGUAAUACCCCAUAGAAUUAUUGGACGGCAUCGUUUGAUAAUUAAAACUACGGUGUUUGGGGAUAGAUGUGCGUCUGAUUAGCUAGUUGGUGAGGUAACUGCUCACCAAGGCGACGAUCAGUAGGGGGCGUGAGAGCGUGGCCCCCCACACGGGUACUGAGACACGGACCCGACUCCUACGGGAGGCAGCAGUAAGGAAUAUUGGUCAAUGGAGGGAACUCUGAACCAGCCAUGCGCGUGAAGGAUGACGGCCCUCUGGGUUGUAAACUUCUUUUGGAUGGGGCGAAAAAACGGGAUUUAUCCUGGACUGACGGUACCAUCAGAAUAAGCACCGGCUAACUCCGUG
This 481-nucleotide ribosomal RNA is filed under the name uncultured bacterium. Its description in RNAcentral is "bacterial SSU rRNA". It matches the Rfam family "Bacterial small subunit ribosomal RNA", at positions 28 to 507 of the family's 1533-position model. The record is from RNAcentral.